UACGGGGGGGGCAAGCGUUGUUCGGAAUUACUGGGCGUAAAGGGCCAGUAGGCGGCCAACUAAGUCCGACGUGAAAUCCCAAGGCUUAACCUUGGAACUGCGUCGGAUACUGGAUGGCUUGAAUUCGGGAGAGGGAUGCAGAAUUCCAGGUGUAGCGGUGAAAUGCGUAGAUAUCUGGAGGAACACCGGUGGCGAAGGCGGCAUCCUGGACCAACACUGACACUGAGGAGCGAAAGCCAGGGGAGCAAACGGG
RNAcentral lists this ribosomal RNA (253 nucleotides) under uncultured bacterium. Its description in RNAcentral is "partial 16S ribosomal RNA". It matches the Rfam family "Bacterial small subunit ribosomal RNA", at positions 524 to 776 of the family's 1533-position model. The record is from RNAcentral.